GACGAACCGUCCAAACGUUAUUCGGAAUCACUGGGCUUAAAGGGUGCGUAGGCGGCGCUGAAAGUUGGGUGUGAAAUCCCUCGGCUCAACCGAGGAACGGCGCUCAAAACUACAGUGCUUGAGGGAGACAGAGGUGAGCGGAACUUGCGGUGGAGCGGUGAAAUGCGUUGAUAUCGCAAGGAACACCAGUGGCGUAAGCGGCUCACUGGGUCUCUUCUGACGCUGAGGCACGAAAGCUAGGGGAGCGAACGGGAUUAGAUACCCCGGUAGUCCUAGCCGUAAACGCUGAGCACUAGAUCGAAGGGUACUCCAUAGCCUUUCGGUCGUAGCGAAAGUGUUAAGUGCUCCGCCUGGGGAGUAUGGUCGCAAGGCUGAA
This 376-nucleotide ribosomal RNA is filed under the name uncultured bacterium. RNAcentral describes it as "bacterial SSU rRNA". It matches the Rfam family "Bacterial small subunit ribosomal RNA", at positions 524 to 898 of the family's 1533-position model. The record is from RNAcentral.